GGUCCCAUCGUCUAGAGGCCCAGGACAUAGCCCUCUCAAGGCUAAGACACGGGUUCGACUCCCGUUGGGACCGCCA
Molecule: transfer RNA, 76 nt
Filed under: marine sediment metagenome
Description: tRNA-Glu
Rfam family: tRNA
About the family: Transfer RNA (tRNA) molecules are approximately 80 nucleotides in length. Their secondary structure includes four short double-helical elements and three loops (D, anti-codon, and T loops). Further hydrogen bonds mediate the characteristic L-shaped molecular structure. tRNAs have two regions of fundamental functional importance: the anti-codon, which is responsible for specific mRNA codon recognition, and the 3' end, to which the tRNAs corresponding amino acid is attached (by aminoacyl-tRNA synthetases). tRNAs cope with the degeneracy of the genetic code in two manners: having more than one tRNA (with a specific anti-codon) for a particular amino acid; and 'wobble' base-pairing, i.e. permitting non-standard base-pairing at the 3rd anti-codon position.
Source: RNAcentral